GGUGAGAUGGCUGAAUUAUUAGGCGAUAGACUGUAAAUCUAUUUAUGGGAACAUUCUCUCUCUCACCA
Molecule: transfer RNA, 68 nt
Filed under: Leuconemacris litangensis
Lineage: Eukaryota; Metazoa; Arthropoda; Insecta; Orthoptera; Acrididae
Description: tRNA-Tyr
Rfam family: tRNA
About the family: Transfer RNA (tRNA) molecules are approximately 80 nucleotides in length. Their secondary structure includes four short double-helical elements and three loops (D, anti-codon, and T loops).
Source: RNAcentral